This 648-nucleotide long non-coding RNA is filed under the name Erythranthe guttata (spotted monkey flower). RNAcentral's name for it is "long non-coding RNA (EGUT_LNC000430)". Lineage: Eukaryota; Viridiplantae; Streptophyta; Magnoliopsida; Lamiales; Phrymaceae. The record is from RNAcentral.
ACAUGCAAAAAAUCUUCAAAACAUGAACACGCAUUACUAUAUAUUAAAAAACACAUAACAUACAUAUAACUAUAUGUUACUACACGUGACUAUAGUUAUCUACAAUCAUUUAUAGGUAUAUAAGUGACAUAAGUCUGGAGUACUGUAGCAGGAAUGCAACUUCACAGGGCACUUCUCUGCAUCUUAUUCUUUGUAUCUCAUAAUGUUAUACAAAGCAAAACCUGUGAAAAAAAAUACAAGAUAAAGAAUUAAACGAAGAACAAAAUGGAACAAACGAAUUACAUUACAUGAAAAAAAUACAAAAACACACUUAAAUACAUUUUUUUGAUAAAAUUAUUUUGGUGAACUAUAGUCACAAGUAGUUAUUUGCAUUAUUGUUACUGCAUAUGACUAGUAUGACUAUAUGUAGUCAACUAUAGUCACAUGUAGUUAUGUUCAUUCUUGUUACUACAUGUGAUUAUAUAUGACUACACGUACAUGACCACAUGUGACUAUAUAUGUAUAUAUAUAAAAUUCAUCUACACCACCAAAAAAGUUCACAAGUGAAUGUAUAUAAAAUGGUGAAUAUAACAAUCCGGUUGAAAAAUAAAAUUAUUACUUACCGUGCCAACAGUGUAAGGUAAUCAAUUAUGCUUCGUUCUGCUUUCC